UACGAAGGGGGCUAGCGUUGCUCGGAAUCACUGGGCGUAAAGCGCACGUAGGCGGAUUGCUAAGUUAGGGGUGAAAUCCCAGAGCUCAACUCUGGAACUGCCUUUAAUACUGGGUAUCUCGAGUCCGGAAGAGGUGAGUGGAAUUCCGAGUGUAGAGGUGAAAUUCGUAGAUAUUCGGAGGAACACCAGUGGCGAAGGCGGCUCACUGGUCCGGUACUGACGCUGAGGUGCGAAAGCGUGGGGAGCAAACAGG
This 253-nucleotide ribosomal RNA is filed under the name uncultured bacterium. RNAcentral's name for it is "partial 16S ribosomal RNA". It matches the Rfam family "Bacterial small subunit ribosomal RNA", at positions 524 to 776 of the family's 1533-position model. The record is from RNAcentral.